AAAACUGUGAGAAUUUAGAAGAAGUGAAUUUUUCGGUCUCGUCCACAGGAUGAGGGGGAGUCUGUUAUUAUGGAAUGGUUUUCUACUUCUAAUUAUUGGAAUCGCAUCUGUCACCAGUUUAGAGAAUGAUGAUCUGGUGUUCGCUGAGAGCAGAUUGUCCGAGGCUGAAAUUCCUCUCGUAGAGAAACAUCAGGAUGAAUCCAUUUUGCAGAGGAUAAAAAGGGGAUUAUUUGAUUGGUUCUCAUCGCCUACGAAGUCAAAAUCGACGUCAACGUCGACGUCGACAUCAACAUCGACUUCAACAACAACAACCACAGUCGUUCCAGAACAAAAAGAAGACGACAGGAUUGUUGCUCCGUUGAUUGACGAAGAGGAAUCAAUUUUCAAGGAUGGUUCAACUCUGAAAAAGACUGCCGAUCAUGGAACACAUUUCUCAUUGCCAAACAGAGUGUCACGAGAAAGCGGCGAGGAGAACGCCAUCUACGAUGGAGAGUCUUUGCUGGAUGAGGAACACAGAAAUGACCAGUCAAAUGACAUCGGACAAUCGGAAUCUCGACGGACAGAAACAAGGUAUCGAAUCGGCGAUGAUGAAGAUCUUGUUGGAUCAGGAGAGGCUGAAGGAAGUGCCAUUGACUUGGAUCCCCCUAGGAGAACCGAUUCGAAAAAGACAAGAUUUUAUCGAGCAACUCUUACAAUUGGCGAGCCGUACAGGAGGGACUACGCCGAUAGAAAUUCUCAGGAGUACAAAGCUUUGAGUUACAACUUAACAGAAACUUUGGCGCGAUUAUAUCAAAAGGAAGCACCCGAGGAUUUCACUCACGUUACUGUCGUCAAGAUAGAAAAUACAACCGACGCUUUCAAGUCUCAAGUCACACUUGACAUUGGAACCUCAAUUUCUAACGAGGAUGAGGUGCGAAACAUUCUUGAAGCAAAUCUGCAACUUCACACUUUGGGUUAUAUCCAAGUUAGUCCAGAGGGAUUCUCCUUCCGCAGUUUUCAAGGAAUAGGCGAUACUGCAUAUGAAUGCAACAGCUUAACGGAAUUGACGUGUCGUAGUGGUGCCUGUGUUCCUCUUCAUUCUCGUUGUGAUGGUAUUAAAAAUUGUGACGAUGGAUCUGACGAAUUGGACUGUCCUUCAACAACUGAACAUGGUCGAGAUGAAGAACCGGAUUCUAACCAAUUGUUCAAUACGACGAACAGACCAAUUGAAAAUAAAUGUCGAGCAGAUGACGUUGUGACAUGUCCUGAUGGAAGUCGACGUAUUUGUGGUGUUCAAAUGUGUGAUGGCACCCCUGAUUGUGACGAUGGAAGUGAUGAAGAAAAUUGUCCACAUCCAGGUUGCAGUAUUGGAGAAUUCGCCUGCGAUGUUUCACGAUGUAUUUUGGAAACUCAACGAUGUGACUACAAAAUCGACUGCCAUGACAACAGUGACGAGCACGACUGCGACUAUCCCGCUUGUAGCUCGAAUCAGUUCAAAUGUAGAAAUCAACAAUGUAUAGACAUUAAACAAUAUUGUAAUGGAGUGCCAGAUUGCUUGGACGGUUCGGACGAAAUAAAAUGCCAAUCUAGAAAAUGUACAGACGACGAGUUUGAAUGCACGCCAGGGUACUGCGUGUCAAACUCCAGACGAUGUGACGGAGUAAAUGACUGCCAAAACAGAAGGGACGAGCUCUAUUGUGGAUCGCACAACAAAACUCGAAUCUGUGGUCCGGAUCAAUUUGAGUGUGAUAAUGGUCGUUGCAUCAACAUAAAUCAGAAGUGCGAUGGUCGACAGGAUUGUCGCGAUUAUACUGACGAGCACAAUUGCAAUGUGACAUCGUGUCCUGCAGAUCAGUUCCGCUGUUUGGAUGGCACCUGUUUGAAUAUAGAUAAAAGAUGUGACGGAAUUCAAGAUUGCCGCAAUGGAGACGACGAGAUCCAGUGUGGUUGCAAAGCUGCGGAAUUUAGCUGCGCGGACGGAACUUGCAUCGACUAUGGGUUGCAGUGCAACGGCUACGAGGACUGUCACGACGGCUCUGACGAGAAAGAUUGUGGUUUGGCUCCGUGCCCUUCAAUGGACUUCACCUGCGAGGACGGCUCUUGUAUACCAGUAACCUCGGUUUGCGACGGAUACGACGACUGCCCCAAGGCAGAAGAUGAGCUUCAUUGUGAUCGAGAUUGUACUCCAACUCAAUUCAAAUGUGCCACUGGGGGGAAAUGCAUCGAAGGCAUCUACAGAUGUGAUGGCCGUCCGGAUUGUCCAGAUAAAAGUGACGAGGAUUGUCCUUCAUUAACGCCUAAAGAACCCGUGUCUACAACGAACCAUUCGAGACCAUCCUGGAAUAUUGUGCAGACAAGGAAUUGUGAUCCAAGGACUGAAAUGCGUUGCGACGAUGGCCAUUGUAUUUCCCUUCAUCAAAAAUGUGACAAUGUUAUUGAUUGUCGAGAUCAAAGUGACGAACGCGAUUGUGGACUCUGCGUUCCUGGGGAAUGGAAAUGUAUGAACAACGAGUGUAUUCUGGAAAGCGAGAGAUGCGAUGGGAUGCUUCAAUGUGUGGACGAAUCGGACGAAAUCGGUUGCGAAUGUAAAAGCGAUGAAAGAAUGUGCGCUAAUGGUAUUUGCAUCAAAGCUGACUUUUUCUGUGAUGGAAGGACCGAUUGUUUAGAUGGAAGUGACGAGAGAGAUUGUAAAAAUCCGAACGAGAUUCCAAGUUAUCCAAGUUGUUCACCAAAUGAAUUCACCUGCGCCGAUGGAUCCUGCAUUCCCAACUCGUACGUCUGCAACCACAGGCCCGAUUGUUCCGACAGUUCCGAUGAAGUAAAUUGCCGAGGUUGCACUCGUGAUCAGUUCCAGUGUUGGAGUAAUGGUGUUUGCAUUCAUGGAAAUCAAAGAUGUGACAGAAUUUACAAUUGUGAUGAUGGUUCUGAUGAAACUGAGUGUCCAAAUGUUGAUAAUACAACUCGACCGGGAGGUCAUCCCAUGCCUGGCUGUCCUGGAAAAUUCAUGUGUCGUUCUGACAAUACGUGUUUACCUCUAUCUGCUCGUUGUAACGGAAUUCCAGAAUGUAGAGAUCGCUCCGAUGAAGAACAUUGCGAAUGUGAACCUGACCAUUGGAGAUGUGAAAAAGGUCCUUGUAUUCAUAUUACAUUGAGAUGUAAUCAUAUGAUAGAUUGUCCUUUUGAUAAUUCGGACGAAUUGGACUGCGAUUUCUACGAUAGUAACUCAUCCUUGGCUGGCCUGGAUUUGAAAACAUAUCCCAGCGAACAAGUCAUUAAAGAAAACCCAGCGAAAUUAGGUCGAGAAGUCGUGUUCCAAUGUCGUGAUGAAGGACCUCUUCGAUCUAAGGUUCGGUGGAUUAGAGGAAAUGGUUUACCGCUUCCACCGGGCAGUACAGAUGUUAAGGGACGUUUGGAGAUUCCGAAUAUUCAACUUGAACACGCAGGAAUUUACGUUUGUGAAGCACUUGGACAUUAUCAUAGCCCUGGAAAUCAGAAAAUUGUCAAUCUUCAAGUUGAAAAGUUCGAAUUUCCCACCAAUCGACCACCGCAAACUUGUGGUUACGAUCAAGCCACUUGCAGCAAUGGAGAAUGUAUUCCAAAAUCCAAAGUGUGCGACGAUGUUUUCGAUUGUUCUGAUGGAUCUGACGAAAUGAGAUGCAAGAAAUACGGAUGUGAACCAAACGAAUAUCGUUGUGCCAACAAGCAGUGCAUAAGUAAAUUGUGGCGUUGCGAUGGAGACAAAGACUGUAGCGAUGGAAGUGAUGAAGAAAAUUGUGCACCAACACCACCUGGCUCACCGUGUCGAAACAGUGAAUUCCAAUGCAGAAGUCACAAUCAGUGCAUUCCAAAAAGCUUCCAUUGUGAUGGCGAACGCGAUUGUCAGGACGCUAGUGAUGAACUCGGAUGUUCUCCCGUCUACAUCACAAAGCCACCUCAACCAAUGGUCAUUCUAAAACCAGGAGACGUGAUGAUCCUCACUUGUACAGCAACCGGAAUUCCAAUUCCAGAGAUCAAUUGGCGAUUGAAUUGGGGACACAUUCCAGCGAAAUGCACCUCAACAUCAGUAAACGGAACGGGAACUCUGACUUGCGAAGAUAUUCAAAUAUCCGAUCAGGGCGCCUACUCUUGUGAAGCUCUAAACAUCGCCGGCUUCGUUUUCGCCGUUCCCGACGCGAUUCUUGUAGUGAAAUCCGAAGGUGAACGAAUAUGCCCACCUGGAAAGUUCAACGCCGACGCCAAGUCUCCAGAAGAAUGCAUCUCCUGUUUCUGCUUCGGAGUUGCCACCGACUGUAGAAGUGCCAAUCUCUUCACCUACCAGAUUCCUCCACCUUUCGACAGGCACAGAGUCGUGAAUGUUGACACCUCUUCGGGAAUUAGAAUCGGAAGUGACGCCGAUCGAAGUUUGAUUGGAGUGCAACCAAUUGGCACCGAUGGAGCACAAUUGAUUUCUUCCUAUUACAACGAACUUGACAAUUACAAUAUUCCGUAUUUUGCUCUUCCGGAAGUUUUCCGUCAUGAACAACUCAAGUCUUAUGGAGGUUAUUUGAAAUAUACGAUUAGAUACAGUGGAAAUGGAGUUCCAAAUGAAGCGCCAGCUGUGAUUUUGAAAGGAAAUAAUAUCACAUUGAUUUACAAGGGUAAAGAAGUGCUGCCACAUUAUGACACCGAGGAAAGUGUUCGAUUCUUUGAAGGUUAUUGGAACAAGAAACUCGGAAGGUACGAGGAGCUUGCGGCCCGAGCUGAUAUCAUGAUGGUUCUACAAAACAUUGACGAAAUACUCAUCAAAGCUAAAUAUGAAGAUUCACCGGAACUGGAUGUGACAAUUACGAACAUUGUUUUCGACUCUGCGGACACUACGAAUACUGGUCUCGGUUCUGCAGCUUUCGUUGAAGAAUGCAUGUGUCCUGCGGGAUAUUCCGGAUCGUCUUGUCAGUCGUGUGCUUCCAGUCACAGAAAAAUGCAUAGUGGUCAAUUUUUGGGCCACUGCGUUCCGGACAAAGUGGAAGUCUGCCCGCCAGGAUAUUAUGGUGAUCCUUCGAGAAAUAUUCCUUGUCAACUUUGUCCAUGUCCUCUCACCAAUCCGGAUAAUCAACACGCUCGAACAUGUCGUCUUGGACCGCGUAAUGAACCAAUUUGUGAUUGUCCAUCUGAAUAUACUGGAGAUCGAUGCGAGAAAUGUGCGGCUGGAUUCCAGGGCGAUCCUUACAGAGGAAAAUGUAUACCGCUGUUGACAGCAUUGUGCGAUCCAGUUGGUAGUAUCAGUAGUUACGUGGAUCCUCGUACUAAUUCAUGUCGAUGCAAGCCCCACACAACUGGUCCUUUGUGCGAUGAAUGUAAGGAUAACGCCAUUCGUCUUCCCUCAUCGAAACACUUGAGAUGUCUUUCGUGCUUCUGCAUGGGUGCCACCAACAGAUGCGCUGCCUCCAAUUUGUACCGAAGCGAGAUUCGAGUAACAUUUUCCUCAUCUACUCGAGACUUCUCAUUGGUUGAGUCGAGAUCACCAAACGCCGAACCUAUCUUCAACGAUCUGAGAAUUGACGCAGUUUCGCGUGAAAUGAUUUAUAGAAAUUUCCCCAAUCGUGGCAAUAAUGAUGUUUAUUAUUGGCAGUUACCAAAUAUUUUCUUGGGAGACAGAGUUACAUCCUAUGGCGGAUAUUUGAAAUAUACGGUUCGAUAUAUGCCUUCUCCUGGCGGACAAAGUUCCAGAAAUAGCGCCGCUGAUGUCAUUUUGAUGAGUUCCAACAGUGAAUUAAUCUUGCUUCACUACGCGUCCAGCAACAGAACGAGCUCAGUUGAUUUUAAUACACCACAAACAUUUAAUGUUCCAUUGUUGGAGGAAUAUUGGCAACGAGAAGAUGGCACAAAAGCUGACAGACAGUAUCUCUUGGUAGCAUUAGCUGAUGUCAAGGCAAUUAGAAUUAAAGCCACUUAUACCACACACACUGACGAAGCUGCACUGUCAAUGGUUUCACUCGAUACGGCAGAAAGAUUUAAUACUGGAAGAGAACGAGCGCCUGAAGUUGAGGAAUGUAGUUGUCCAGCUGGUUACAAAGGUUAUUCUUGUGAAGAUUGCGAUGUUGGAUACACACGAGUUGCCGAAGGAAUAUAUCUUGGAAGCUGUGAUCCUUGCAAUUGUAAUGGACAUUCUAAAUUCUGCGAUGCUGAAACCGGUGUAUGCAAGAAUUGUGAUCAUCACACAUUUGGCGACCACUGUGAAUACUGCGAAUAUGGCUACGAAGGGGACGCAACUCGUGGCUCACCACACGAUUGUCAACAAAAUGGUACAGUGACACCAAGUUGCGAUCCUGCAGGUUCCGAAAACGGUCUAUUAGUUAGCGAACAGUGCAUGUGUAAACGAAAUGUCAUUGGUUCUCGAUGCGAUCGCUGUCGUCCUUCAACUUUCGGUCUCUCGAUAAACAACACCGAUGGAUGUAACCAAUGUUUCUGCAGUGGUGUCUCCAAUCAAUGUCAUGAAAGUUCUCUCUACAUUCAACAACUGCCAAUAUUUAUUUACGAUAAUAGUAAUAAAUUCAUACUCACCGACAGUUCAAGACAACAAGUCAUCGACACUGUAUUCGACUUGAAUAUUGCAACAAAUGAAAUUGGCUAUCGAUACUCAGGAUCUCGUAGUCCCAGACUAUACUGGUCUCUUCCUAAAGAAUAUGCUGGCAAUAAGUUGACUAGUUACGGUUCCAAUUUAAUUUUGACUCAACACAUUAUUACUCAACCCAGGGCACGCACUUAUUCAGAUCAAGAUGUUAUUCUCUUCGGAAAUGGUAUCACACUCUACUGGAAAAAUGCACGAGAUUUAGUUCCUGGAGUUAAAAUGACGUACAACGUACCGUUUAGAGAAUCGGAAUGGUACCGAAUUACUCAGGAAGGGCCACGCAGAGCUUCGAGAAUUGAUCUUAUGACUGCUUUAACUGACGUCGAGGCAAUUUUGGUUCGAGCGACUCACAGUGAAGAAAUGAUUGGAACUUAUAUUAGCGACAUUAUUUUGGAAUUCGGUAGUCAAUCUUAUGGAACACAGCGAGCGACUCAAGUUGAGGUUUGCACUUGUCCCGAAGGAUAUGACGGUAACUCGUGCGAAAAUUGCAAAAGAGGAUACUACAGAAGCAAGAGUGACAGGUCCCGAAGUUUCCUUGGCAAUUGUGAAAAAUGUCCUUGCAGUAGCAAUGAAUUAAGUUGUGACUUGAGCCGCACUGGUCAAGUCAUUUGUCACUGUGCGCCUGGAUACACUGGACAUGAUUGCUCCCAACUACACGAGCUCAGAGUAGGUCUUAUGCCCGUGAAUGUUGUAAUGCCAUCAAACACCAUCGUCAAUUUUACAUGCAACUAUGAAGUGAUCGCAGAAAGAUUUAAGAUUAUUUUUAAUAUAUCGUCCUUCGAGGGAAAGCGAAUAACAGCUAGGGGUUCAAGUCUCAGUCAUAUGCACUGGACUGGGUAUGGUGGCUAUCGAUAUUGGAGUGUCAACAUUGGAACAACUCCAUGCCUUGUCGAAUGUUUUAUAUUGGAUAGACAGGGCAAAGAACUGGCUAGGAUUAUGACAUCUGUGAAACCAGGUUUCCCAGAUUCAUCUCGUAACCAAACAGUGGACACUGGAUAUCCUCCGGAGCCAACAAUAACCGUCGAAAUUACAGAACCUGCUUUCCAAAUUGUACAGACUGGAAAUACUGUUACAUAUCAUUGUUCGGGCAAAUCGAAAGAAUCGAACCAAGUCAGAAUCAAAUGGGAGAAGGAUGGAGGAAGACUUCCACCGGACAGAAGCAUUGACGAUGAAAGUGGAGUGCUAGUCAUUCAGGAUGUCACUGUUUCGGAUAGCGGCGUUUACAUUUGUCGCGUUACUGACGGUUACGAAGAGGCAACAAGUAAUGUCACACUUUCCGUUGGAGGAGCAUCUGAACCAACUAAACCCAGAGCGGAGAUAUCACCACGCUAUAAGGAGAUUUACGAAGGUGAAAGUUUUGAAUUCCGCUGCCAAGCGACGGGAUAUCCUCAACCUGAAGUAAGAUGGAUACGAGGAAAUGGUCCACUGAGUCAGGAGGUCAGAGUUCACGGCGGUGUUUUGAGAUUCACGAAUGUCAGGAAGAGCGAUGAGGAUGAGUACAAGUGUGUUGCGAAAAAUAGCGAAGGUGUUACUGAAGUAACGGCUGUGCUGUACGUUAAGGAUUAUCCCGAUUCAACGCCUCAUUCGCCGAUGAACAUCACUCUCCAACCAUCAGAAUGGACAGGAAGCAGUGGAGAUACAGUGCGAAUUACUUGUUCAGCGCCGAGAAACAGUAGAGUAACGUGGAGUCGUUCGGGAAAAAAUCCACUUCCACACUCGGCGACUCAACACAAUGGAGUUCUGAUAAUUCAAAAUCCAACGCCUAAUGAUUCUGGAGUUUAUAUCUGUACAGCUGUUAAUUAUGAAGGUCAGGAGAGAAGUGAAAUGGCCCGAAUUACCAUUAUGCCCAGGCAGGAAGUUCCGGCUGUAAAAGCUCAACCCGAAAGACAAACAGUCUCUCAAGGCACAAAUGCCGAAAUUAGAUGUAUUGUAUCUGGAGAGCAAGGAAUGCAUUUCAAAUGGAUGAAACAUGGAGAAACUUCUCUUGGUCCCAAUGCUCAGGAGAUGGGCGAUACUUUGAAAUUCCACAAUAUUCAAGUUCACGAUCGAGGAAUCUAUAUUUGCCGUGUCAGUAAAGCGAGAACGAGUUAUGAAGCUAGCGCCAUGAUUGAAGUUGAACAACGUCAAUCUCCGAUUGUGGAAUUGUACCCGAGCAAACUUCAAACUGUUCUGGUGGGAGGCUCGGCGGAUAUGCAAUGUCGUGCACAGGGUCUUCCAACUCCGGAAGUUCAGUGGUCUCGUGAAGAUGGUCGGCAAUUCUCGCAAAAUAUUGAGCAAUUGCCAGGAGGACUUUUGAGAUUGACGAAUAUCAGUUACAAUGACGAGGGACACUAUGUCUGCACGGCUGUAAAUACAGUUGGCAGAGCAACUUUAGCGGCGCAAAUUGUUGUUCAUUCCAGACCAAUAAUUACCAUCAGUCCAAAUAGUGGAAUUUUGAAUGUAAAAACUGGCGAUAGAGUAAAACUGAUUUGUUCCGCCACUGGCAAACCUCAACCGAACAUCGUUUGGACCAAGCGAACGGAUCCUGGAUUCACGGAUCCUUUCAGUAAAUCAGGAAGUAAUGCAGUUUACGAAAUUUACUCCGUUUCUCCGGACGAUGAAGCCACUUAUACCUGCCAAGCGACAAAUUCAGCAGGAGUUUCAGAAGAAAGUGUACAUAUCAAAGUUGAUGAAGACAUAAUUGACCAACCACCUUUGCCAUGUCGAGGAGAUCAACCAUGCAAUGAAGACAUUUCCUAUCCUCCAUCUAAUCCCAAUUCGGUGGUCAUAGAGGAUACAUUUAAUAAAAUACCAACUGGAGGAAAAGUUGAAUUACGCUGUCAAUUAAAAGGAAGGGACGUGGAACACAUCUAUCUAGAUUGGAGGAGAGGUAGACAUCUUGGGCUUCCAGAAGGAAGUACAAUUCAAGGUGGAAUCCUAACUAUACCCGUAGUAACAAAAGAAGCUGAGGGAGAAUACAUUUGCCUUGGACUCGAUCGACAUGGUUCAAUUUUAUUCGAGGCUAAAUCAAUCCUCGAAGUCGUUUCUGUCCCUAGAAUUGAAUUAAAUCCGACAAAACAAAUUGUACGUCCGGGAGAAAAUCCAAGCAUCUUGUGCCGAGCAACAGGUGACGAGCCGCUUAAAAUUGAAUGGACAGCCGUUGGUCGUGAAAUGCCCGAUUCCGUAACAAGAGAUCGAGGAUACAUUAAAUUCCACGGCAUUACUUAUUCUGAUGCAGGAAGAUACGCCUGCAUUGCCACAAACUCAGCCGGAAGUGCUAAAGCUGUCGCGGAAGUUUUAGUUAAUGAAAACGAAGGAAAUGUGGUGCGAGCCUUAGAAAGAGACAUAUCAACGUUUGCUGGAAACACGGUGAAAUUGAGGUGUGCCGUCCAGGAAAGAGCUGCUAUCCAAUGGAGUAGAGUAGGACAACCUUUGCCUGCAAAUUCGCGAGCAGGUGACAAUUAUCUAGAACUUUUCUAUGUUCAACCAGAAGACAGUGGGCAAUACACUUGCAAAACGAGUAACGAAAACGGUGUAUCGAGCGAUUUUAUAAACUUAAACGUCAGCCCUGCCACUGCGCCUUAUAUUUCGGUGAAGCCAUCUCAGGAUCUUAUUAAUAUUGGAGACACUGUUGACCUCAUUUGCACAACUUCUGGUGUUCAAAAUCCUCGAUACUUGUGGACGAAACUCAAUGAAAUCAGUUUACCGCAUAAUGCAAGAGCACAUGCGAGCACUUUGAGAAUUUCAAAUGCGUCUGUUAGUGACAGUGGAACGUACAGAUGCACUGUGGAAAGUCGCGAUGUCACUCUGGAUGGUGAAUAUAAUCUCGUCGUUCAAGGUGGUACUGCCGAUGCUCCAGCAACUGAAACUGUGUCAGCUCCGUAUGGAUCAGAUAUUGAAAUGAACUGCAGUCACAAUUUAGAUACCCCAGUGAAAUUCCAUUGGAAGAAACUUGAAGGACAAAUGCCAUCGAAUAUUGAUCCACACGAAAACAAAUUGAGGAUUGAGAAUAUCAAAGCAGAAAAUGCUGGAACUUACAUUUGUGUGGCGGACAACGGUCUUGAGACACUUGAGGUUCCAAAUGUUCUUGUCGUAACUGGAGUAGUGCCAUAUUUCCAUCAAGCUCCACAAAGUUACAUUGCUCUUGCCCCAUUAACCGACGUCCAAUUGAGAUUCAACAUCGAGGUUUCGUUCAAAACUGAAAGUUACGAUGGAUUAAUUCUUUACAAUGAUGAAACAAAUCGUGGAAGUGGUGACUUCCUAUCGCUGGCUAUUGUUGGCGGAUAUCCAGUUCUAACAUUCGAACUCGGUUCGGGACCAGCGGAAAUACGAGCCAAUAAAUCAAUCACCCUUAGUACUUGGCACACGAUUAAAAUUCAACGACUCCGAAAGGAAGGAAAUAUGCUCGUCGAUGGAGAGGGACCGUACACUGUUUUUGCAUCGGGUAGGAAACAAACACUGGACUUAAAGGAACCACUUUACGUCGGUGGUGUACCACGAAAUCAAUCAAUCAACGAGUACGUCAAGUAUCGAACCUUCACGAAUGGAGUACAAGGAUUUGUCGGUUGCAUUAGUAAAUUAGUGAUUGGCGAGAGUCAUAUUGACUUGAUGGGCGAUCAAACGGAAAGCACUGGAAUAACGAGUUGUGAAACUUGCGCUGAAAAUGCUUGUCGAAACGGUGGAGUUUGUCAAGAAGCUGCCGUAAAGCAUGGCUAUAAAUGUCUUUGUCGUGCAGGAUACAGUGGAGUCCACUGUGAAUCUAUAGGGCAAUCUUGUUAUCCAGGCGCUUGCGGGGAAGGUAAAUGCGUCGACUUAGAACCCGGUUUCGUAUGCUACUGUCCAUCUGGAAAAUCGGGAUCGAGAUGCGAGCGAACAAUUAAUAUUCAUAAGCCAUUAUUCAGAGAUACUAGAUCAUAUCUUGCAUAUCACACACCAAAAGCUGUCCGAAGAUUAAAAUUAGCGAUGAAUUUCAAUCCAUCGGAUGAGAGUGAUGGAAUUCUAAUGUACGUUUCGCAAAGUGAAGAGGGACUGGGCGAUUUUGCGGCUAUAAUUGUCAAAAAUAAACACGUUGAAUUUCGUUUUGAUGUCGGCUCAGGAAUGGCAGUUAUCAGAUCGAAUAUUAUCGUACAACCAGGGAUUUGGACUCAUAUUUCAGUGAAUAGAGAUUACAAGCAAGGUUCUCUCUCGGUUCAUGGAGAACAACCUGUUGAGGGAAGAUCACCCGGAGCAGCACGAACAAUGAGUUUGAAUACUCCGCUAUACAUCGGUGGAGUUGACAGAAGAAAAAUUAUCGUCAAUAGAGACUUGGGAAUUGAUAAAAGUUUCCACGGUUGUAUAAAUGAGUUGGAGGUUUCUGGUAUGAAUAUUGAUUUGCUAAAGUCGACAAUUGAUUCUGUGAAUGUUGAAGAUUGUUCUACGGUUCAUCAAAAUGAGACGAUACAACAGAAUAUUAACACGACGCAAUCGUCUACUUUAAUGAGUACCGUAUUUAAUCCCUGUGUUUCUAAUCCCUGUAUUAAUGGAUUAUGUCAAAGUAUUAUGCAAGAUUAUUCCUGUACAUGUGAAUACGGUUACGUUGGAAGGAAUUGCGAGAAUGUUUUAAAGCAAUGCGAAUUAUUAGUUCCCUGCAGAAACGGUGGUACUUGCACUGAUUUACAAGGGACCUACAAAUGCGAUUGUCUUCUCGGUUACAAUGGACAAAAUUGCGAAAAACCCGCAGAAUUUUCUUACGACGUGGCGUUUAAAGGCGACGGAUGGUUAGAACUUGAUAAAUCGAUAAUGACACACGAAGAGGAAAGAGAAGUUCUGGGUUUCGAAAUUUCGACGAAUAAAUCGAACGGUUUGAUUAUGUGGCAUGGUCAAACGUUUGAUGAUUUACGUCCAGCUGACUACAUAUCUUUAGCAGUAGUCGAUGGAUACGUGGAAUAUCAAUACAAUUUAGGAUCCGGACCAGCAGUGAUUCGAGUUGCAGCUCAAAGAAUAGAUGAUGGUGAGAGGCAUAGAAUAAUUCUAAAGAGGCAAGGAAGUGACGGAAGUAUUGAAUUAAAUGGCGAACAUACCGAAAGUGGUGUGAGCGAUGGUUUACAGCAAACUCUCAACACACGUGGCAAUGUUUACUUGGGAGGUGUUCCAGACUUUGCAAUGACAUACGGAAGAUAUCGAGACGGCUUUUCCGGAUGUAUUUACACUCUCGAAGUUCAAGAUUCGGGAGCAAUCGAUAUCGGCGAAAAGGCGAUUAGAGGAAAAAACGUUUCCCCUUGCACGAGAGCAAGAUGGAUUCCAUCUUCGCUCGUAUUUCCGGACGCGGAUACCGAUAUUUUUGAUGCAUUUGUACCUCCACCACCUGUAAAUAUAAUACAUCCAAAACCUACACCUAAUCUUGCUUUUCGUAGCGUCGAGUGUCUCUUUCUUUUGUCAUUCACAUCACUCUUUAAUUCCUUAAUAAAUUUUAGCCAUGCUCAUCAACAUUUAUCACUCAUUAGACUAUUGUACAUUAUUUUUUUACUUUGAAAACAAUAUGAAAGUCGUUUUCUAAAUUAAAUAUACAAAAUUUGGAAAACAUUAACUACGGAUAUAAUAUUUAUAUAAAAUUAUUAUAAAAAAAAAAUACAUAAAAGCAAAAGUUACCUGUAACUAAUAAAUUUGUAAAUUAUUUUUUGCUUUUCUAAUCAUGGAAUUGAGCGUUUGAGUGACUUGAGCAAUCACAUUUAAUUGCACCAAUAGAAAAGCAACGGUGUAAUAAUUAUGAUUAAAACAAAAUGCUUGUGCCUGAGAAUCAACAGAUUCUUUAUACGACAAGUUCUCAUCGAUAGAUAAUCAGACUGAACGAGAACGCUGUAAAUAAUUAUAAUGAAAACGCCAAGAAUAAUCAUAAACAAUUUACAAUAGUACAUACUUUUUUCAAGUUUUCUGGCAAUCAAUAUUUCAAUUUUCGAUUAAUAAUAAUUUCAAAUAAUUAGCAGUUUUCGUAAAAAGUGAUUGUUACAAAAAACUGAUAAUUAUUGUAACAUAUCAUAUCGUAUUAUUAGAUCGAAAAGGAUUCUAAUGAUAGAAAAUUAACAAAAAAAAAAUUUUUAAGUACUUGAGCACAACUUGAAAGUAGUAUUAUAAAAUAGGAUAUAAGUAACAUGUCAUUUAUAGCAUUUUUUCAUAGUUACGUAGUUAAUUUUUUAUUAUUGCAUAAAAAAACAAUAUUUUAACAAGUAGGGUAUGUUUUUAAUCUAUACUUAAUGAAUUUUAAUAAUGUUAGAGUAUCACUGCCAUUAUGUUUAAUCAAUGAAACGCAUUUUAAUCUCACAGUAUUGAUUUCUAGAAAAUAUAAUUUUUAAUUUAAUUUUAAUUCAUUUUAAAUUUGUCAUUUUAAAUUAAAAUUAUUGUAAAAAAUUAUUUUCUACAAGUAUAUGAAUUGUUUCUGAAAAUAUUUUCUUUCUGUGUUAUCAUAAUUAUAAUGCAAAAAAAUGUAUCAAACGAACGGCGUGUAUAUAAUUGAUAAAGGGACGUAAAAGCUUCUAAUGAAAGUAUUAAUGAUAAAAUAACAAUUUUUUAAUGUCUAAAAAUUAAAUAUCAACCGGAAUGUUUGUGCGUAACAAAAUUAU
Leptopilina heterotoma is the source of this 14160-nucleotide RNA transcript. It is a transcript of the gene named basement membrane-specific heparan sulfate proteoglycan core protein, with no coding region annotated. The record is from RefSeq and is a predicted model, not a curated record. Lineage: Eukaryota; Metazoa; Arthropoda; Insecta; Hymenoptera; Figitidae. The transcript has 58 exons.